This 253-nucleotide ribosomal RNA is filed under the name uncultured bacterium. RNAcentral's name for it is "partial 16S ribosomal RNA". It matches the Rfam family "Bacterial small subunit ribosomal RNA", at positions 524 to 776 of the family's 1533-position model. The record is from RNAcentral.
UACGUAGGUGGCGAGCGUUGUCCGGAAUUAUUGGGCGUAAAGCGCGCGCAGGCGGUCCUUUAAGUCUGAUGUGAAAGCCCACGGCUCAACCGUGGAGGGUCAUUGGAAACUGGGGGACUUGAGUACAGAAGAGAAGAGCGGAAUUCCACGUGUAGCGGUGAAAUGCGUAGAGAUGUGGAGGAACACCAGUGGCGAAGGCGACUCUUUGGUCUGUAACUGACGCUGAGGCGCGAAAGCGUGGGGAGCAAACAGG